This is a long non-coding RNA of Octopus bimaculoides (California two-spot octopus), 604 nucleotides long. RefSeq lists it as uncharacterized. The record is from RefSeq and is a predicted model, not a curated record. NCBI's taxonomy places the organism in Eukaryota, Metazoa, Mollusca, Cephalopoda, Octopoda, Octopodidae.
UGCCUAUGUCAGAAAUCAUCCUUUUUUUUACACGUCAAUUCUAUUAUUUUAUUUUCCUCUUUCUCUUUAUUACUUAGUCCACGGAGGCCGGUGGAUUGGCAGAAUCAGUACAGCGGCGGACAAAAUGCCUUCAAUACAUUUGAACUGGUCGGAUUAGACCCCAGGACAGCUUGGCCACAGAGUAUUUAAUACACAUUCACACACACACACACACACACAGACAGCUUAUGUUUCCCGAACAGGACUACAUGACAACACAGUAAACAUCGACAUUCAAUUGAAGGAUUUCUACGAUUCAAUCAAGUCGAGUAAUUUUCCAGACCAACGCCAAUGUCAGCUGACUUGAGGAAGAUGUUAAAUUUUCUCGUGAACAAUCACCAAACUAUUAAUUAUUGACAAUGAAUUUCUCAAGAGACAAUUUUUUUCUUUAAAUAUAUUGCCUUGAUCAAUUCAACUCGGGUGUUUCACGGAUAUCUUUCCAAAUAUACGAAAACAUUGAAAACAAAAAACGUAGCAAAGCAAUAAACGAUAUUCUCUUUUAAUCAAGAGAAAUUUUUCAUAUACAUACAUAUAUAUAUAUAUAUAUGUGUGUAUAUAUAUAUAU